Molecule: long non-coding RNA, 144 nt
Organism: Numida meleagris (helmeted guineafowl)
Lineage: Eukaryota; Metazoa; Chordata; Aves; Galliformes; Numididae
Exons: 2
Source: RefSeq, a predicted model, not a curated record
CUUUGCCUUCGCGGCGCUGGCCGUGGUUUUCUCGUCUUACAUCACCCUGGUGGUGCUCUUCGUCCCCAAGAUGCGGCGCCUGAUCACGCGUGGCGAGUGGCAGUCGGAGCAGCAGGACACCAUGAAAACCGGCUCCUCCACCAA